RNAcentral lists this long non-coding RNA (827 nucleotides) under Monodelphis domestica (gray short-tailed opossum). RNAcentral's name for it is "lncRNA (ENSMODG00000045244.1)". The record is from RNAcentral. Lineage: Eukaryota; Metazoa; Chordata; Mammalia; Didelphimorphia; Didelphidae.
CCACUGCUUAGUUGCCCUCCUCUGGGCAUUCUCUAACUUGUCAAUGUUUUUCCUUAAACUCUGGGCACUCAGAGAUGAAGUAGUUUUCCUAGGGUGCCAUAGGUGCUAAAUGGAAGAGCUUAGAUUCGAACCUAGUCCUUUGAUUUAAAUUCAAUGAUUCUUGCAUCAUCUUAAAGUAUCCCUGAUUGUGUCAAUAUGGGUGGCUACUCACUCUAACAACUCGGAUAUAUAUGAUAUUCAUUGCCUUUUUUAAUAGAUUUUUUUAGAUAAAUAGAUUAAUAGAUUAAUAGUUUUUUUUUUAAACACUUACCUUCCAUCUUAGAAUCAAUACUGGGUACUGAUUCCAAGGCAGAAGAGUGAUAAGAGCUAGGCAAUAGAGGUUAAGUGGCUUACCCAGAGUCACACAGCUAGGAAGUGGCUGAGGCCAGAUUUGAACCCAGAACCUCCCAUCUCUGGGGCUGAUUCUCAAUCACACACACACACACACACACUCUUUAAAUGAUCUAUGCAUGUCUGUGUACUUUGUUGUAAGAAACUGAUGCUACUGAUUAUGACAGAAAAACCCAACAUGAGCCCUUCUGCCCUUUCCACAUCAUGCAUGCUUGAAAUUGGUCAUAUGAGCAAUAUGAGCUGCAGCUGCAGCCACAGUCUGAAGGACCUGUUGCUAUUUGUGACCUCUGCCUCAAAGCAGGAAGGACCUGAAGUCCAAAAACAGCUAUUUCACUUACCUGGUAUAUCAUGAGAAGAAAUGGCAGUUAAGAAGAUAAAAUCAGGAAGAGGCACUGGACCUCACCAAAUAAAUGCAGAAGAAAGUCAAGCUGAAGACA